UACGUAGGGUGCGAGCGUUAAUCGGAAUUACUGGGCGUAAAGCGUGCGCAGGCGGUUUUGUAAGCCAGAUGUGAAAUCCCCGGGCUUAACCUGGGAAUGGCAUUUGGGACUGCAAGGCUGGAGUUUGGCAGAGGAGACUGGAAUUUCGCGUGUAGCAGUGAAAUGCGUAGAGAUGCGGAGGAACACCGAUGGCGAAGGCAGCCUCCUGGGAUAACACUGACGCUCAGGCACGAAAGCGUGGGGAGCAAACAGG
Molecule: ribosomal RNA, 253 nt
Filed under: uncultured bacterium
Lineage: Bacteria
Description: partial 16S ribosomal RNA
Rfam family: Bacterial small subunit ribosomal RNA
Source: RNAcentral